Molecule: long non-coding RNA, 199 nt
Filed under: Physcomitrium patens
Lineage: Eukaryota; Viridiplantae; Streptophyta; Bryopsida; Funariales; Funariaceae
Description: long non-coding RNA (PPAT_LNC006686)
Source: RNAcentral
ACAGGUUCAGCAACAAUACUCUGUUUCAAUUCUCGCAGUGAUUUAAAGUUACUCGGUAUGUCCGACAUAUGUGAAGUAACGAAUCCCGUCUCGAGGGCACUAACAUGGUGCACAUCGUGCGGAGGUUUCCAGUCAAUAUUAACAUAAGCAGAGUUUUCCGAAUCCUUCGAGUAUAUCAAGUACUCCCCCAGACCUCCAC